UUAGAAUGUGUAGUGUAGCGGUGAAAUGCAUAGAUAUUACACAGAAUACCAAUUGCGAAGGCAGAUCACUAACACUAUAUUGACGCUGAGGGACGAAAGCGUGGGGAGCGAACAGGAUUAGAUACCCUGGUAGUCCACGCCGUAAACGAUGGACACUAGCUGUUCGGUCUUCGGAUUGAGUGGCUAAGCGAAAGUGAUAAGUAUCCCACCUGGGGAGUACGUUCGCAAGAAUGAAACUCAAAGGAAUUGACGGGGGCCCGCACAAGCGGUGGAGCAUGUGGUUUAAUUCGAUGAUACGCGAGGAACCUUACCAGGGCUUAAAUGUAGCUGGACAGAUUUAGAAAUAGAUCCUCCUUCGGGCUAGUUACAAGGUGCUGCAUGGUUGUCGUCAGCUCGUGCCGUGAGGUGUCAGGUUAAGUCCUAUAACGAGCGCAACCCCUGUUGUUAGUUGCCAGCGAGUCAUGUCGGGAACUCUAACAAGACUGCCAGUGCAAACUGUGAGGAAGGUGGGGAUGACGUCAAAUCAUCACGGCCCUUACGUCCUGGGCCACACACGUGCUACAAUGGCCGGUACAGAGAGCAGCCACUACGCGAGUAGGAGCGAAUCUUUAAAACCGGUCUCAGUUCGGAUCGGAGCCUGCAACUCGACUCCGUGGAGCUGGAAUCGCUAGUAAUCGCAUAUCAGCCAUGAUGCGGUGAAUACGUUCCCGGCUCUUGUACACACCGCCCG
Molecule: ribosomal RNA, 730 nt
Filed under: uncultured bacterium
Lineage: Bacteria
Description: SSU rRNA
Rfam family: Bacterial small subunit ribosomal RNA
Source: RNAcentral